UGGCUCAGGAUGAACGCUGGCGGCGUGCCUAAUACAUGCAAGUCGAGCGAACGGACGAGAAGCUUGCUUCUCUGAUGUUAGCGGCGGACGGGUGAGUAACACGUGGAUAACCUACCUAUAAGACUGGGAUAACUUCGGGAAACCGGAGCUAAUACCGGAUAAUAUUUUGAACCGCAUGGUUCAAAAGUGAAAGACGGUCUUGCUGUCACUUAUAGAUGGAUCCGCGCUGCAUUAGCUAGUUGGUAAGGUAACGGCUUACCAAGGCAACGAUGCAUAGCCGACCUGAGAGGGUGAUCGGCCACACUGGAACUGAGACACGGUCCAGACUCCUACGGGAGGCAGCAGUAGGGAAUCUUCCGCAAUGGGCGAAAGCCUGACGGAGCAACGCCGCGUGAGUGAUGAAGGUCUUCGGAUCGUAAAACUCUGUUAUUAGGGAAGAACAUAUGUGUAAGUAACUGUGCACAUCUUGACGGUACCUAAUCAGAAAGCCACGGCUAACUACGUGCCAGCAGCCGCGGUAAUACGUAGGUGGCAAGCGUUAUCCGGAAUUAUUGGGCGUAAAGCGCGCGUAGGCGGUUUUUUAAGUCUGAUGUGAAAGCCCACGGCUCAACCGUGGAGGGUCAUUGGAAACUGGAAAACUUGAGUGCAGAAGAGGAAAGUGGAAUUCCAUGUGUAGCGGUGAAAUGCGCAGAGAUAUGGAGGAACACCAGUGGCGAAGGCG
Molecule: ribosomal RNA, 721 nt
Filed under: Staphylococcus aureus
Lineage: Bacteria; Bacillati; Bacillota; Bacilli; Caryophanales; Staphylococcaceae
Description: bacterial SSU rRNA
Rfam family: Bacterial small subunit ribosomal RNA
Source: RNAcentral